GCAGCCAUUGCAUGCCAGCGGCGCAUUCGUAAUGCGUAGGUCGUAGGUUCGAUUCCUAUUUCCGGCACCA
Molecule: transfer RNA, 70 nt
Filed under: Stenotrophomonas sp. Betaine-02u-21
Lineage: Bacteria; Pseudomonadati; Pseudomonadota; Gammaproteobacteria; Lysobacterales; Lysobacteraceae
Also listed under: 2 other names
Description: tRNA-Thr
Rfam family: tRNA
About the family: Transfer RNA (tRNA) molecules are approximately 80 nucleotides in length. Their secondary structure includes four short double-helical elements and three loops (D, anti-codon, and T loops).
Source: RNAcentral